AUUGAACGCUGGCGGCAUGCCUUACACAUGCAAGUCGAACGGUAACAGGUCUUCGGAUGCUGACGAGUGGCGAACGGGUGAGUAAUACAUCGGAACGUGCCUAGUAGUGGGGGAUAACUACUCGAAAGAGUGGCUAAUACCGCAUGAGAUCUACGGAUGAAAGCAGGGGAUCGCAAGACCUUGUGCUACUAGAGCGGCCGAUGGCAGAUUAGGUAGUUGGUGGGAUAAAAGCUUACCAAGCCGACGAUCUGUAGCUGGUCUGAGAGGACGAUCAGCCACACUGGGACUGAGACACGGCCCAGACUACUACGGGAGGCAGCAGUGGGGAAUUUUGGACAAUGGGAGCAAGCCUGAUCCAGCAAUGCCGCGUGCAGGAUGAAGGCCUUCGGGUUGUAAACUGCUUUUGUACGGAACGAAAAGCCCCGGGUUAAUACCCUGGGGUCAUGACGGUACCGUAAGAAUAAGCACCGGCUAACUACGUGCCAGCAGCCGCCGUAA
RNAcentral lists this ribosomal RNA (498 nucleotides) under uncultured bacterium. RNAcentral's name for it is "partial 16S ribosomal RNA". It matches the Rfam family "Bacterial small subunit ribosomal RNA", at positions 30 to 523 of the family's 1533-position model. The record is from RNAcentral.